GAUGAACGCUGGCGGCGUGCCUAAUACAUGCAAGUCGAGCGAACGGACGAGAAGCUUGCUUCUCUGAUGUUAGCGGCGGACGGGUGAGUAACACGUGGAUAACCUACCUAUAAGACUGGGAUAGCUUCGGGAAACCGUAGCUAAUACCGGAUAAUAUUUUGAACCGCAUGGUUCAAAAGUGAAAGACGGUCUUGCUGUCACUUAUAGAUGGAUCCGCGCUGCAUUAGCUAGUUGGUAAGGUAACGGCUUACCAAGGCAACGAUGCAUAGCCGACCUGAGAGGGUGAUCGGCCACACUGGAACUGAGACACGGUCCAGACUCCUACGGGAGGCAGCAGUAGGGAAUCUUCCGCAAUGGGCGAAAGCCUGACGGAGCAACGCCGCGUGAGUGAUGAAGGUCUUCGGAUCGUAAAACUCUGUUAUUAGGGAAGAACAUAUGUGUAAGUAACUGUGCACAUCUUGACGGUUCCUAAUCAGAAAGCCACGGCUAACUACGUG
Molecule: ribosomal RNA, 497 nt
Filed under: uncultured bacterium
Lineage: Bacteria
Description: partial 16S ribosomal RNA
Rfam family: Bacterial small subunit ribosomal RNA
Source: RNAcentral